This is a long non-coding RNA of Chinchilla lanigera (long-tailed chinchilla), 5890 nucleotides long. RefSeq lists it as uncharacterized. Lineage: Eukaryota; Metazoa; Chordata; Mammalia; Rodentia; Chinchillidae. The record is from RefSeq and is a predicted model, not a curated record. The transcript has 5 exons.
UGGUAGUUUUAAUUUAGUUUCAAAAUAUAUUUUCAGUUCUUCAUUUGGUCUCUGCAGGGAAGGUGUGUACCCCGCUGCUACCACAGAGACAGCUUUUCUUUCUGGAGGACUUGGGUCCCGCUGAGGUGCUGUGAGCUUCACCGUGUGAUGCCCCAAGGGAUGCAGUCUCUGGUUGUCACCCACGGCUCUCUCCGAGGCUCUCUACCCCCAUACUCCUGCUCUUCCUUCCCGAUUGAUAGGUUUCUGCCCAUGUGGAAAAACACGCCAGGUCAUCAUGGCAGUGAACCAACAUGGCGCGGGGCCCAAAACCACAGCGUGUCACUCAAAAGCUAACUCCCUCCUCCUGACUUCCUGUUUCUUUAGCGUGUUACUCGACACUCCUCCAAUCAGUGCUUGUUACGUCACUCUGACCACCCAUGCAAACUCCACCCCCAGCCCAGCCCAAUAUAUCCUCUGUCUCUCUGCCUCUUCCCCAGAGGCUCCUUGUAUCUCUUUAGCAGCCCUUCCUGCCCAACAAUACAGGCUUUCUUUACCUUUGUUCCCUCUCUCUCUUGCCAAACCUUACACCUGUCUGUGUCUUAGAGCAUCUGACGGUGGAAGGCUCUGCAUCAACACAGACGGGGAAUUGGCAAGGCCAGUUUGAUCCUCCCUCUUUGAAUGUGGACAGAGAAAUGUGGAAAGAGGGGCUCGGAUGCUGUCAGGAGAAGAUGCUGAACUGGAGCAGCAAGAGCAGCCGCGGACUCGCAGACAGGAGCUGGACCCUGAAUCUGAAGACAGCGUGUGAGGUGAAAAACCACCUGGAGGCUCAGGGUGGGGCCAUGGCUCAUCUCCCCCAGCAGUGGCUUCCUGCUGAGGACAUGGGAGCGAAGGGAGAGGACUGGAAUUCUGCCCACUCAGUAGGCAUUCACUAGCCACCACCAUGCCCCUGCUGAGUGGUGGGGUGAGCUCUUUCCCGGUGACAAGAAGUCUCCCCGUUCGCAGUGAUCAAAGCUCUGCUGGCCGGCAUGGACAGAGUGCUGUGGAAGCCGGAGGAGAAGCCAGUCAGUUAUCCGUGUAUGUGAGUGCGCAGAUUCCUCAGAGAACGCCUGACACAGAUAUCAAAGGAAGGCGGCUUCAGGAUCAUUAACCAAGACAAAGGCCAAGAAGAAGUACAGAUUCUUGUGCAAGGAGCCUGGCUUUUUGUGCAGUGAAUUUGGAUUGCCCAGAUGCAAAUGAAAACUUAUAAAAACUUCAGCAUGGUUUAAACUGGUUUACAGUGUGGGCAAGAUGAGGGUCACUUAUCUCCAGAGAGUCACUGGAGGCCACAGAACCUGUCCCAUUCUCUAACUGUACUUCAGAGACUCCUUCGGUCAUCCGCGAGGAAAAGGCUCGUAAAUGCAAGGUACCAAACCAACUUCCACUGCGAACCAUUCCUUAUGCUACAUCCUUUGUCCUCAUACAAGAAUUAAGAAGCAAUAGGAGCCUGAGAGUGUGGGCAAAGGUUGGAUAGAAGAGCUGUAAUCUUCGCAUAGAAAGUUUCUACAUUCAAGUUUGUAAGCACAUUUUCCAGGUUCACAACAGACAGGCACCUACCGGAGGUGCUUGGUGGUACCGAGAGCGGGAAAGACAUGGCCUCCUCAAGAGCAGAUGGUCGGGCAGAUUAGCUACACACUUUAGCACAUGGAUGCUAAUACAGUGACAGUACAUGGUGAGGGAAAAGAGUAGUGGUACUGCCUCAGGCUGAUGGCAUUGGAGCAGGACUGUCACCUGUGUCCUGUGUUGUCUUUGACCUGGCUGUGACACUUAUCGAGGAUGUAGUAACUGUGUCUCUUCUCUCAACAACAGUGCUUUUCUGUGAGAAAUUAGCUUGAAAACUCAGAGAGUCCGUUUAGGGGUAACUGUGCUAUUAAUUUCUUGAAUCUCUAUGCUCUCUUAUGGUACAAAAAUGAUGUGAUAUGUGUAUAUACCAGGAUGAAUGUAAUUAUUAUGUAUCACAUAUACUGAUAAAUAAUAAGAAAAUGUAGUUUUUCUUGUUCCAAACUUAAAUAGCUCUGAAGAUUGUAUAAAUGAACAAAUAAAAAAGCGAGCAAGAAAUUCCAUUCUUAGUAUUGUUGAAUAUUAGGCUGCUCUGUGACCCUUUCCUUGUUUCCCUGGGUGCCCUUGCCCGCCGCUACAGUCUGUUGGCUUCUUCAUCUCUUCUGUGAUACACACAGCUGCAAGCCACCGGGGCUGCAUUCAGCCACUGAGCCUUGUCUGGCCUCAGGCCUGGAUGUUUAUUAUACAUGCCACUUUAAUUGUGCAAUGUGAUCAUGUUGGUUGGCUUUCUGUUAUCACACAAAAAUACCUGCACUAGUCAACUGAUGAGGAGGAAAGGUUUAUUUUGGCUCACAAUUUGGAGGGUUCAGUCCCUGGUUAACUGUACCAUUGUUUUGGGUCUGUGGCAUUGCAUAAUGUUAUGUGGGAAGUGUGGUUGAGGAAGUCUGUUCAUUCAUGGCCAGGAAGAAAAGGAAAAGAGGAAGAGACCAGGGGUCCACAGUCCACCUCAAGGGUCCCAUUAGGUCCCUCUCCUAAAGCUCUGCCACAUCCCAGUAGCACCGUGGACAGAGGACACCCCUCAUCACUUGGCCUGUGAGGGACGUUCCAGCUUAAACUGAGCAAUAAUGAAACCUGAUACAACCUUUGGAAAAGCCAUGUGCCAGGAGACUUAUUUCUGUGAAAAAUCAGUUGAAUGUUUUUGAAGACCUGGGUAAGACCACUGAAUGGACGAGGCUAAUGUCAAGGUAAGGGGAAAGGUACAGCAGUCUAGAAAGAUUCUGCACCCGACUUGCUUUGCAAAAACCUUCCACAUUUUCACUUCCCAUAAGAAAUCACAGAUCGAUAACCAGAAAUGAGAUAUCGUGAGUGUGGUUAGUCUAAUUAAAACAAAGAAUGACGGUCAUACUCAAAGUAAAGUCUGUGACAGUGUGGAUGAAUAAGGGCAUAUUUGCAUGUUUGGACUUAACAUUUUUCCCAAGGAGUGUUUCAGUACAUUAGUAAGUUCUUGAUUUAUGUGAUUUUAAGAACGCAUCCCAGGCGUUUCCAGGGGACACACACAGGGCGGGGCAACGGGCUCCACACAGGGAAUGAGCCAGUGAGGCAGCGACUUCUACUGCUGCUCGCCAUGGUCAUCAGAGGCCACACAGGCCCCGGAGCACGUCAGCAGGGCACUGGUGUUUUCUGAAAACCUACAUUCAUAUUCAUAUCCCACACUGACUUUGAUAAUCUGUGGAUUACCCUUGUAGAACUCUAGCAGGAUUAUUUUAUACUAGCUCUCCUUUAAUUGUCUCUAUUUGUCCCUUUAUACCUUAUUUACUGUUAAUUUACUGCUAACAUUUGUGUCAUUUGCUAUCCUUUAUUUUCUUGUGUAAGGCUUUUCCAAUGGCUACUUCUUCUAAAUCCAUCCCCAAAGGGAGAUUAAUCUCCAUAAUUUUCUGUUGUGGCAUCAGUCUCAUUUCCCCAGUGUUAAAUUGGGACAUGCAAUACAAACAGCUUCAGAAGGACCUGAACAGCAAGAAUGAGAGAGGUAUUAGAAUAAAAUAAAAUAAAUUCUUGUUUCAAGCAAGAGAACCUAAAAUAGCAUGUGAACAAAUUAUUGAUUCACAAAUUAUGAUUUGGCACUGCAUGAUAUCAGAGGAGAAACUAGGCUGACUUCUAAAUGGAGUCUUAAAAAAUUUUGAACAACACUAAACAUACCAGCUUUACCGAGAAAGCUCUGGGGUGAUGGGAACUAUGUUAAAAUUUGCCUCCUGGUCUGUGUAGUAAAUAUAACGUCAGCUCCCUUGGGUGGGAAUUUGUCUCAGAGAAUCUUCAUAUUCAGCACACCUCUGGGCUAGAAGAGGAUUUCAGUUUUCAGUCUACUGGGACAGAAACAUUUUACUUCCAGAACAAUGUAAGCUUAUCUGGAGAAGAUGACUAUCCUGCUUAUUCUGUGGAUAGAAAAAAAAUCAUCUCAUUUGGUUCCAAAGCUUGUCAGCUUCACAGGUGUAGGUCAUGUGGCUGAUGCAUGCUGGUGCCCGGCCUUCUCCCAUCAGGUCCUCCCUCCACAGUACCCAGUGGGUUUAUACCAGGUUCUGGGGCUUGGGAAGUGGUAUAUGGGUGUAGGAGAGUGGGUUUGCUUCCUGUUUGUUUCGGGUUCCAAGUGGUAGGUUUUACCAACACCACUCAACUUCAUAGGAGGAUAAACAAGGCCCCCAGCAGGCAGACAUCUACAGGUGUGUUAGAAAUAGAACCAAAGGUGCUGCUUUAGUGUGGAUUUCAAACGUCUCCCAAAGACUCACAUUAAAUAAACGCUUUGCUGGCAGCCAUGACACUACUGGGAGGUGAUGCAACCUUUAAGAGGAGGGGCCUAACUAGAGGAAGUGAGAUCACUGGAGGAGUGGCUAGGAUGGGAUACUAAGACUCCGCUUCUUCCUGUGUUGCUUUACAUCUUAUUUGCCCUGAGGUGAGCAUCUUACCUCAGCUAAAUGCAAUCAACAGCACCUAGUAUAAAGCAGCAUGUUAAUCACUGUGGGGAAUGAAGUGUUGGGGGAGAUGGAGUUGCUUCUUUUUCUUUGUUGCACCUAGAAAUGUAUUGAUCUACCUCUGGAAAGCUAGCUUGUGUAACAUAUAUGUCCCCAGAGCACAGAUUUUUUACUUUGUGUCUUUGAACAGUGGACAUAUUACUAAAAGAAUGUACGAACAGAGGAAAACAAAUUGACUACCACACCGGACAUUUUUAACAGUUGAGGUUAAUGUAACAGAAUUUCAAGGAAAACACUUGGAUUGCCUAAAUUAAGUCUUUUACAAAUAUGUGAUUUCUGGGACCUUCUAUAUUUAGGGUAGAUUUAAUUCUUCAAGUUUUCUACCCAUAUUUCCAUGAAAACACAUACACACACAUGCACGUGAUGUGACUUUCUCCUUCUUUCCAUACUUAAUAUUCCUCAUUAAAAUUGGAUGAAAGGUAAUGAGAAAACCUGUAAUACUUACAAAUUUCAUUAAACUAUGAGCUAAACACAUAUUGGAAAAUCAGAGUCAGAAGAGGUAGACUUAUCAAUUACAAAUCUGUAUCCUCACCUUGAAGCAAACUUAGACAUGUACACAGUAGAUUCAUUUCUAUGGCUCAGAAACACCUAUUAAACUUCAGCUUUGAUGUGUCCUCACAUUUCACUGAUUUUUUUUUUUAGUGAAAAAAUGGAUUUAGUUAUGUAUGACGGAAUUAGGGGCAAGUUAACUUCACUCCUUCUCUAGUUUAGACUGUGGUAUCCAUCUUUUGACAGAUGUAUUGAUGUAAACUUCAGUUUUUCAUCUUCUAAACCUGAAAAACAGAAUUUAAGAUUUAUAUAUAUAAUUUAAAAUAAGUCCUAUACCAAACAACUUUGUUUUGACUAUACCAAUUUUUGGAGCUUGGGGAAAUAGAAUGAUAUAUACAGUCUUCAUUGCUACAUGAAAGGAUCUAUGCCCCCCUCCAAUAUUGUACCUUGGAAUUUUUUAAUGUGAUAAAGAUAAAUCACAUGCCAAACAUUUUUGUGAAAUAUAGAGCUCUUUAGUUUUAUGUAACUACAGUUACAUUUGUUGAUGAAUAUAGAAAAUAAAAAUAUACAUGAAAAUUAUUUUAACAAUGUUAAAUAAACAUUUCAUUAAAUGUUAAUCUGUAAAAUGCAAGUAAAGGUAUAUUUAAUGAAUUGUGGAACUUUAAUUUGCUUCACAUAGUUCUUUUAAAAAGUGAAAUUAUUCUCCAUCUUCUGAAGACUUUGUGAUUGUCUUUCCUAUAUAUAACUAGGUCACAAGAUGUCUGUGUCUUCCCCCUUCUCACUAGAUUAUUAGGGUUUUGUGCUCAAGAAUAAAAAAUACUGUUGUUAUUUUUAAGCAUACUUCAUUUUUCUGGUGAUAGCAA